UGUUCUCUCUCUUUGGUCUCUCUUGUGGCUCUUGGUUCUCUCUCUCUCUUCCUGGAAUUUUUUCUUUGGUUACAUCUACCACAUAAAAUCUUUGAUCUACCAAAAUCUAUUAGGUUUUAGACCCAUGUUCUUGAGAUCAAAGUGAAGAGCUUGGUGAGAGCAACAUUUUGAUCGGUGGAGAUCAAAAUCCAACAAAGUCAAAAAUUGGGGUUUUUGCUUGUUUUCUCUUCUAACUUUUGAGGUGAUUGUGAUGUGCCUCCGCCAAAGUGAAGGCGUGGAGGAUCUUUUGGAGCACAAGCCUCUUUUUAUUUAUUUGUUAUGCUUUCUUUGCAAGCCAAUGGCUAUCUAUGUAUGGGUUUGAAAACCACUUUGUUGUAACCGGGCAAAGACUUGGAACUUGUAGCCAUUAAGGCAUUAAUUUGUAUUUUGUUGCUUUAACUUGUUAUUAUCACAUGCUAUAAAAUUUGUAUCUUAAGGAUGAUGAA
Long non-coding RNA from Camellia sinensis, 485 nucleotides. RefSeq lists it as uncharacterized. Lineage: Eukaryota; Viridiplantae; Streptophyta; Magnoliopsida; Ericales; Theaceae. The record is from RefSeq and is a predicted model, not a curated record.